RNAcentral lists this ribosomal RNA (468 nucleotides) under uncultured bacterium. RNAcentral's name for it is "partial 16S ribosomal RNA". It matches the Rfam family "Bacterial small subunit ribosomal RNA", at positions 28 to 507 of the family's 1533-position model. The record is from RNAcentral.
GACGAACGCUGGCGGCGUGCUUAACACAUGCAAGUCGAACGGAAAGACCCUGCUUUUGUGGGGUGCUCGAGUGGCGAACGGGUGAGUAACACGUGAGUAACCUGCCCUUGACUUUGGGAUAACUUCAGGAAACUGGGGCUAAUACCGGAUAGGAGCUCCUGCUGCAUGGUGGGGGUUGGAAAGUUUCGGCGGUUGGGGAUGGACUCGCGGCUUAUCAGCUUGUUGGUGGGGUAGUGGCUUACCAAGGCUUUGACGGGUAGCCGGCCUGGGAGGGUGACCGGGCACAUUGGGACUGAGGGACGGCGCAGACUCCUACAGGAGGCAGCAGUGGGGAAUAUUGCACAGUGGGCGGAAGCCUGAUGCAGCAACGCCGCGUGCGGAAUGACGGCCUUCGGGUUGUAAACCGCUUUCGCCUGUGACGAAGCGUGAGUGACGGUAAUGGGUGAAGAAGCACCGGCUAACUACGUG